RNAcentral lists this RNase P RNA (339 nucleotides) under Prevotellaceae bacterium. Its description in RNAcentral is "RNase P RNA component class A". It matches the Rfam family "Bacterial RNase P class A". From Rfam's summary of the family: Ribonuclease P (RNase P) is a ubiquitous endoribonuclease, found in archaea, bacteria and eukarya as well as chloroplasts and mitochondria. Its best characterised activity is the generation of mature 5'-ends of tRNAs by cleaving the 5'-leader elements of precursor-tRNAs. Lineage: Bacteria; Pseudomonadati; Bacteroidota; Bacteroidia; Bacteroidales; Prevotellaceae. The record is from RNAcentral.
AUAGCAGAAUGGUUUGCCGCCCUUUUUGAGGGAGGAAAGUCCGUGCAACGCAGAGCGCCAUACUUCUUAACGGGAAGUCGGCUGUGAGGUUGAAUUAGCGUAGCAGAAAACAACCGCCCGCAAGGGCAAGGGUGAAAAGGCAGGGUAAGAGCCUACCGUUUUGGCAGCAAUGUCGAAAGCCGUACGCAUUAUGGGUUGAAAGUUCAAGUAAACCAACGUUUAGGGUUGCUCGCCCAAGUUGGAGGGUAGAACGAUAGAGGCAAAUUGUGAGAUUUGUCCCAGAUAAAUGGCAAACAUUCCAUUGGAAUACAGAACACGGCUUAUAGUUCUGCUAUUUUU